This 213-nucleotide long non-coding RNA is filed under the name Elaeis guineensis (African oil palm). RNAcentral's name for it is "long non-coding RNA (EGUI_LNC056469)". The record is from RNAcentral. Lineage: Eukaryota; Viridiplantae; Streptophyta; Magnoliopsida; Arecales; Arecaceae.
GUGGGAACCUUAGGGAAGAAUUCAAAACAGGGAGUUGGAGCAUGGUUCAAGUGACAGGCUUCAUUCAUGUGGGUCCGAGCGUGGGUUUGGGCGUGGGAGCUCACCGUGGAGUGCGGUCCUGGAAGAGUGGAUCCGAGUGGAGCGCGUGAACAGGGCGAGCGACGCGGUUUUCUUACGAUUGGGAUGCCGAUGCGACAUGAGAGCUGGAGAGCG